This 449-nucleotide ribosomal RNA is filed under the name uncultured bacterium. RNAcentral's name for it is "partial 16S ribosomal RNA". It matches the Rfam family "Bacterial small subunit ribosomal RNA", at positions 29 to 523 of the family's 1533-position model. The record is from RNAcentral.
UACGAACGCUGGCGGCAUGCCUAAUACAUGCAAGUCGAACGAGAUCUUCGGAUCUAGUGGCGCACGGGUGCGUAACGCGUGGGAAUCUGCCCUUGGGUUCGGAAUAACGUCGGGAAACUGACGCUAAUACCGGAUGAUGACGUAAGUCCAAAGAUUUAUCGCCAAAGGAUGAGCCCGCGUAGGAUUAGCUAGUUGGUAAGGUAAAGGCUUACCAAGGCGACGAUCCUUAGCUGGUCUGAGAGGAUGAUCAGCCACACUGGGACUGAGACACGGCCCAGACUCCUACGGGAGGCAGCAGUAGGGAAUAUUGGACAAUGGGCGCAAGCCUGAUCCAGCAAUGCCGCGUGAGUGAUGAAGUCCUUAGGGUUGUAAAGCUCUUUUACCCGGGAUGAUAAUGACAGUACCGGGAGAAUAAGCCCCGGCUAACUCCGUGCCAGCCGCCGCGGUAA